CUUUCUGAGGGUGGUGAUCCCCCAUCACGGAGUGUCCUGGUGGCGGUGUACGGUUUCGAAUCUACAUAACACGCCUGUGACCCUUUCCUGGACACAAUGCAGACAGUUGCUCGCUUCCCCACCUGUACCACCACACAAUCUAGUAUAACCCUUAUGUAAUUUAUUGACCUACGUUUGUCUUCCCUACUAGACCUAAUUCCUUAUGUGGUCAAGGACUGUUUUUUUUAAUCCACACUCAACUAGUGAUUGUUGAGUGAAUAAAUGAACUUACCCUCACCUCCCUGUCUUCGCUAAUAGCAGCAUGUCUUCGCUCUUAAGUCGGUUCCUUCAACCAGUGUUCAAGAUCCC
Molecule: long non-coding RNA, 348 nt
Filed under: Homo sapiens (human)
Lineage: Eukaryota; Metazoa; Chordata; Mammalia; Primates; Hominidae
Description: HSALNT0171779
Source: RNAcentral